RNAcentral lists this long non-coding RNA (276 nucleotides) under Mytilus galloprovincialis (Mediterranean mussel). Lineage: Eukaryota; Metazoa; Mollusca; Bivalvia; Mytilida; Mytilidae. The record is from RNAcentral.
UUUUGAACUUUUAGUUUUCGGUGCUGUUCUACUUUGUACUUGUUUUGGCUUUCAAACUUUUGUAUCUGGGCUUCACUAGUAAGUCUUGUGUGGACGAAACGCACUUCUGGCGUAUUAAAUUUUAAACCUGGUGCCUUUUGUUAGCUAUUAAUCGUGUGUUUCUUUAUCAAAUAUGUUCUCCUAUUUAUUUGUAUUGUAGUCCUGUAAUGCUGUGUUGUCAUUUUUAUGUUAUAUUUAACAUGGUCAUUAAAGCGGGAGGUUUGGCAUGCCAAAAAA